Long non-coding RNA from Conger conger (European conger), 1192 nucleotides. RefSeq lists it as uncharacterized. The record is from RefSeq and is a predicted model, not a curated record. Lineage: Eukaryota; Metazoa; Chordata; Actinopteri; Anguilliformes; Congridae. The transcript has 3 exons.
UUGAUGAUACAGCAUACACGCGCCAGAACUGCAAAGCAUUUCGUGUGCCGUUCAUACUUAAAUGAAGAUGACACGCUAAAAAGGACCAUUUCAUUUUACACCAGCCAAACAAGACACACUAUAAAGACUCGGAAGCUCUACACAAAUGUUUUCCGCUCAAUAAUUUCACAAGUUUACAUAUUUUGUUAACAUGUGUGCUCAUCUACUUCUUCAAUGAAUGUGGAAACUUGGCUGCAACUUGCAUUCGUGCCAGUCAAACAAUACGACACGAUAGCAAGCUAACGUUACACCCAGAAUGCUCGAUAUGUUUCUGAGAACAGAAUGCUUAGCUAUAGUUAAGAUUUGAAUUUAGACAGUGUAUAUGACUUGAAUUUCUAAUACAUUUACUUUACCAAAGACAAAGUUGCUGAUGACACCACCGAUUGCAAUGACUGAUCAUGUAACGUUAUCGACCACAUUAUUUUGUGAUGCCAUGAUGAAACACAGGACCAGGUAUCACGAUGGUGUUCUGGGAACAGCUUGGCACGUGGAGGAUGAAUAUGAAUACCCCCCCACCCCCUCCAGAUAAUAUCAUUCUGCUCAUUUUUUAAGAACAGAACACUUCCAGGCUGAACUACUGGCCUCUUCCCUCCCAGCUGCAUGGGUCACCGGGCGAUGUGAUUGGUCCUUCGGCGUGCGACAUUGAGGAAUGACACGUCCGUCUGAGAGACGGAGAGCGACGGGCGAGGACGGCGGGCGGAGACUGCGCUCAUACGAUAAGAGACGGCCGAAUGUUGCCGGAACUUUCUCCUGGUUUGAUGUUCAUAAUGUGCACAGAACUAAGCUCUUUAAUAGAACCAUUCGCUUUUGAUGAUAGCUUAAUUGGCAAACGCCCCGGCAGACAUGGGUUACACUUUUGAACAGAUAAUCAUUUUUCGCUGCCGCCGUUUCUCAGACAUGGCUGGGAUCUGAUUUAUAUUUAUUCUCUCCACACCCCCUCCCCCCCAAAAUAAAAAUAAAAUGGGAUGAGAUCAUACAAAACACAUUUUAAUUUAGCUACUUACGAAUAUUCUAAAAGUCAGAUAUCAUGAUUGCGUGCCUGUGGAGUUUGCAAUAAAGAGAGAACGCUAUUAGGAACUUGUUUUACAGAUUUGAGCUUGCAGUUUGCAUUGCAAAUGAAAAUCAAUCAAAGUUUUUCUCCUGAGAGGAAAUG